CCUGUCUCAGCCCAUACGUCACCUGCAUGGGCCUCAGCCCACCGAAUCAAAUCCAGCAGCCAGACAAGCCGAUAGAAGAGACAGAAAGAAAAUACAUGUGUCCAUACACGGAGCACGGGCUCUCGCCUCCUCUCUCGCUCGCCGCCGCCACCACCCACGUCGGCCGCUUCUCCGGUGACCUCCGGCGCCGUGCAGCACGCCCCCGAGCUCCCCACGGUCCACGCCUCCCUCCCCUCCGGCCAGAGUCUCCGCUCCCGUCCUCUACCGCCCGCUCGCAAGCCCAUCCCCCAUGGCUAGGGUUUCGGGGGAUAAACAAGGGGAGGUAUAGCAGGGCGUUGGACAUUUGCGGGAGUGGGGGAGAUCGAUGAGGACGAGGACUGUCUGGUGCACUGCUGGUGCGGGGAGGGCAGGGGAGAGGGAUGGCUGCUGCGCUGCUGUUAGCUGCAUAUAGUACUGCUCCUUUCCUGUUGUUUGUUGAUUGAUGCUGCUGCUGCUGCUACUUUGAUGCAGUUGCUGCUAAUUUGAUGUGGAGGACGUGCAGGGACGGACGACGAGUGAGCAGAGGAUUUAUCCGGGACCUAAAUUUGGCAGGUAAAAAUUGGUCUGUUUGCCGCUAGCUGGCUUCAUGUGAUGCUAUAGUGUGCUAUGGAGAGGUACAGAGGUUAUUUUACAGGACCAUGAAGGUUCAUGAUUGGCAAUUGAUCUUGGGCUAUUGGCUUAUUAUGAUCAAAACUGAGAUUAUAUGCGCCACUGUUAGUGGUCUUGCAGAGUUGGAAUGUUAUGCUUCACUGUAAUUGCUUUACUGAAUCUACAGACUAAGAAAAUUUCUAUUUCUUGUGUCAGGCAAAUGGGUGAGCUCUCACAUCCCUCUCAGUCUCCUUUGAUUUGCUGCUGCUGCUACUUUGAUGCAGUCCAUGACCUCUCUGUCAAUGAUACCUGAAAUUCUUGGGACUUCUUUCGAAUCGAAACAUUAGAAGAUAAGCUUGUGGUGACUUUAUGAGGUUUUGGCAUUGGACCGUUUGAAACUUUAGAUUGGCAGAGAGAUAGAGACCCUGGUGCUCUGAAGGAUGUUGAAUUUGAGAUCAAAAAUUAUUGUUGUUAAAUAAUCUUUGCUUCUUUCAAUUGGAAAAUUUAGCGUUGUUGGUUGUUUGAUGCUGCAGUGGGCCUUGGCAGUGGCGAGCUAGGUGCCGGCGAGGUAGGCGACAUCAUCAACGAGGGCCAUCAUGGCCUCCACCUGCGCCCUCUUGCAGGUGGACUGCUGGUCAUCGGUGCGGCGGGUCGGGCUCUUGCAGCAACAUCUACGAUAUUCUCUGGACGAGCUGCAGGUAGGCCAGUAGAUGAGGAUUCGACGACCACCACCGAGGUAUGCCCUCCUCUCCUUGCCCUUGGGCUGGCAUCUCUGAUCAGGUUGUAAUCUGCUGAUGUAGUGUUGCUCUUUGGGGAUUCCUAUGGGAUCUAUUUUUGAUUGGUCAAAGCUGGUAUGUUGGCCACCGGUUGGUUUAACAUGAUGCUAUAAUGCGCUACGGAGAGAUAUGUUAUUCCAGUACAAGUGGCCGGUCAGUUAAUUUGAGGAUUUUUGCCUUUUGUUCUUCAGGCCUAUAGCUUUGUGGUUUCAGUUCGACAGUUAAAAGUUGCAUUGGCUUGUAAAAAUUCAUGUGAUUGGACCAGUAGGUGAGGAUGAUCUCAUAUGGAAAAUACUGCUCCAUGGUAUUAAAAUCUGUUAUAGGUGUUGGAAGUCAAUGCUAGGAGCUCCUGGGAUGUGCUCAUGCAUGCUUGGUCGGAACUUUUCUUUUGAAUCAAUUGAUGAACCGAUGGCAUCAAAUAUGCCGUAUGUGUACUCCACUACGUACGACAGGGUGGAAACAAGUUUGAUCGAUGGAGAUGGAUUUCUAUCCUGUUGGUGCAAUUGUAUGUUCAGGUGGUUCUUUCAUGUCCGUUCUCUCUAGCUUCUUGAUGUUUUCUUUCUCAGGUGUAAUUUAGUUGCCAUUUGUAAUAGCCAAAUUUUCAUGUCAAACAUGAUUUAAAGAUUUUCUAUGCCAGUUGACAUGUCAUUUAUUUUCUA
This is a long non-coding RNA of Triticum dicoccoides, 2062 nucleotides long. RefSeq lists it as uncharacterized. The record is from RefSeq and is a predicted model, not a curated record. The transcript has 3 exons. NCBI's taxonomy places the organism in Eukaryota, Viridiplantae, Streptophyta, Magnoliopsida, Poales, Poaceae.